Molecule: antisense RNA, 69 nt
Filed under: Streptomyces sp. NRRL B-1568
Lineage: Bacteria; Bacillati; Actinomycetota; Actinomycetes; Kitasatosporales; Streptomycetaceae
Description: ASpks sRNA
Rfam family: ASpks TB sRNA
Source: RNAcentral
UUUGAGCGAGCCGAGUCGCAGCGGGCGUUCGCGGUCCUGGCCGUAGGUGGCCAGCAGUGCCUGGGCCUC